Molecule: ribosomal RNA, 1301 nt
Filed under: metagenome
Description: bacterial LSU rRNA
Rfam family: Bacterial large subunit ribosomal RNA
Source: RNAcentral
ACACGACCGUACCGCAAACCGACACUGGUGCGCGAGAUGAGUAUUCUAAGGCGCUUGAGAGAACUCGGGAGAAGGAACUCGGCAAAUUGACACCGUAACUUCGGAAGAAGGUGUGCCUUUAGUAGGUGAAGGGAUUUACUCCUGGAGCCCAAUGAGGUUGCAAAAAAUCGGUGGCUGCGACUGUUUAUUAAAAACACAGCACUCUGCAAACACGAAAGUGGACGUAUAGGGUGUGACGCCUGCCCGGUGCUGGAAGAUUAAAUGAUGGGGUGCAAGCUCUUGAUUGAAGUCCCAGUAAACGGCGGCCGUAACUAUAACGGUCCUAAGGUAGCGAAAUUCCUUGUCGGGUAAGUUCCGACCUGCACGAAUGGCGUAACGAUGGCCACACUGUCUCCUCCCGAGACUCAGCGAAGUUGAAAUGUUUGUGAUGAUGCAAUCUCCCCGCGGAAAGACGGAAAGACCCCAUGAACCUUUACUGUAGCUUUGUAUUGGACUUUGAACAGAUCUGUGUAGGAUAGGUGGGAGGCUUUGAAGCAGGGUCGCUAGAUCUUGUGGAGCCAACGUUGAAAUACCACCCUGGUGUGUUUGAGGUUCUAACCUAGGUCCAUUAUCUGGAUCGGGGACAGUGCAUGGUAGGCAGUUUGACUGGGGCGGUCUCCUCCCAAAGCGUAACGGAGGAGUUCGAAGGUACGCUAGGUACGGUCGGACAUCGUGCUAAUAGUGCAAUGGCAUAAGCGUGCUUAACUGCGAGACUGACAAGUCGAGCAGAUGCGAAAGCAGGACAUAGUGAUCCGGUGGUUCUGUAUGGAAGGGCCAUCGCUCAACGGAUAAAAGGUACUCUGGGGAUAACAGGCUGAUACCGCCCAAGAGUUCAUAUCGACGGCGGUGUUUGGCACCUCGAUGUCGGCUCAUCUCAUCCUGGGGCUGUAGCCGGUCCCAAGGGUAUGGCUGUUCGCCAUUUAAAGAGGUACGUGAGCUGGGUUUAAAACGUCGUGAGACAGUUUGGUCCCUAUCUUCCGUGGGCGCUGCAGAUUUGAGGAAGCCUGCUCCUAGUACGAGAGGACCGGAGUGGACGCACCUCUGGUGUAUCGGUUGUCACGCCAGUGGCAUUGCCGAGUAGCUAUGUGCGGAAGAGAUAACCGCUGAAAGCAUCUAAGCGGGAAACUCGUUUCAAGAUGAGAUCUGCCGGGGCCUUGAGCCCCCUAAAGAGUCGUUCAAGACCAGGACGUUGAUAGGUCAGGUGUGGAAGCGCAGUAAUGCGUUAAGCUAACUGAUACUAAUUGCUCGUGCGGCUUGACCCU